ACCUGGGUGGCUCAGUUGGUUGAGCAUCUGACUUCGACUCAGAUCAUGAUCUCACGGUUUGUGAGUUCGAGCCCUGCGUCAGGCU
RNAcentral lists this transfer RNA (85 nucleotides) under Felis catus (domestic cat). It matches the Rfam family "tRNA". From Rfam's summary of the family: Transfer RNA (tRNA) molecules are approximately 80 nucleotides in length. Their secondary structure includes four short double-helical elements and three loops (D, anti-codon, and T loops). The record is from Rfam by way of RNAcentral. Lineage: Eukaryota; Metazoa; Chordata; Mammalia; Carnivora; Felidae.